Non-coding RNA from Caerostris darwini, 91 nucleotides. The record is from the annotation of a GenBank genome assembly. NCBI's taxonomy places the organism in Eukaryota, Metazoa, Arthropoda, Arachnida, Araneae, Araneidae.
ACGCCCAUACCAUGCUGAAUAUACCGGUUCUCGUUAGAUCACCGAAGUCAAGCAUCAUUGGGCGCGGUCAGUACUUGGGUGGGUGACCACC